UGUCUAUUUAAAGAGACCUCUCUUAAAUUUUCUAGAGCAUCCAAACCAGCAGCCCCCAUGCCUAUAGAAGGUCUCCACGCCCUCUCUUCCUCUCCUUUUUUCUUCUCUCUUGGGUAUUCUACACACCCCUUCUCUUGGGAUGCACGUCCCAAGGUGUUCCACACCCAAGACUAUUGGGUGUCUCUUCUUUGCUGGUUUCU
This 200-nucleotide long non-coding RNA is filed under the name Elaeis guineensis (African oil palm). Its description in RNAcentral is "long non-coding RNA (EGUI_LNC078398)". Lineage: Eukaryota; Viridiplantae; Streptophyta; Magnoliopsida; Arecales; Arecaceae. The record is from RNAcentral.